GAUGAACGCUGGCGGCGUGCCUAAUACAUGCAAGUCGAACGAGGUGCUUGAGUAGCAAUACGAGAGUAUCCUAGUGGCGAACGGGUGAGUAACGCGUUGGUGACCUACCCCAAAGUGUGGGAUAACAGUUCGAAAGGAUUGCUAAUACCGCAUGUGGUCUUCGGAUUUAGAAACUGAUGACUAAAAGGAGCAAAUUCGCUUUUGGGAGGGACCUGCGUCCCAUCAGCUAGUUGGUGAGGUAAUGGCUCACCAAGGCUACGACGGGUAGGGGACCUGAGAGGUGACCCCCCCACAAUGGAACUGAAACACGGUCCAUACACCUACGGGUGGCAGCAGUAGGGAAUAUUGCACAAUGGGCAAAGCCUGAUGCAGCAACGCCGCGUGUGCGAUGAAGGCCUUCGGG
This 403-nucleotide ribosomal RNA is filed under the name uncultured bacterium. RNAcentral describes it as "bacterial SSU rRNA". It matches the Rfam family "Bacterial small subunit ribosomal RNA", at positions 28 to 422 of the family's 1533-position model. The record is from RNAcentral.